UUGCGGUACUUCGACCGUGCAAAGGUAGCAUAAUCAUUUGCCUUAUAAUUGAAGGCUUGUAUGAAUGGUUUGACAAGAAUAUAGCUGUCUCUAUAUAAUUUUAUAGAAUUUUAUCUUGAAGUGAAGAAGCUUGAAUAAUAUUGAUAGACAAGAAGACCCUAUCGAGCUUUAAAAAAGGUAGUAGAGGUAUAUAAAAUAGAAUUAAAAAAUCGUCUAUUACAAAUUUUGGUUGGGGCGACUUAGGAACAUGAAAAGCUUCCUAAAUUUUUAUAAGAGAACAAAGUGAUCCAAAAUAUUUUGAUUAAGGAAAUUAGUUACCGUAGGGAUAACAGCAUUAUCUUCUUUGAGAGUUCAUAUCGAAAAGGGGGUUUGUGACCUCGAUGUUGGACCAGAAUAUCCUAAAGAUGUAGCAGUCUUUAAGGGUUGGUCUGUUCGACCAUUAAUUU
This 446-nucleotide ribosomal RNA is filed under the name Mitrella burchardi. Its description in RNAcentral is "partial 16S ribosomal RNA". It matches the Rfam family "Bacterial large subunit ribosomal RNA", at positions 1931 to 2594 of the family's 2925-position model. Lineage: Eukaryota; Metazoa; Mollusca; Gastropoda; Neogastropoda; Columbellidae. The record is from RNAcentral.